RNAcentral lists this ribosomal RNA (404 nucleotides) under uncultured Propionibacterium sp. Its description in RNAcentral is "bacterial SSU rRNA". It matches the Rfam family "Bacterial small subunit ribosomal RNA", at positions 74 to 491 of the family's 1533-position model. The record is from RNAcentral. Lineage: Bacteria; Bacillati; Actinomycetota; Actinomycetes; Propionibacteriales; Propionibacteriaceae.
CCUGCUUUUGUGGGGUGCUCGAGUGGCGAACGGGUGAGUAACACGUGAGUAACCUGCCCUUGACUUUGGGAUAACUUCAGGAAACUGGGGCUAAUACCGGAUAGGAGCUCCUGCUGCAUGGUGGGGGUUGGAAAGUUUCGGCGGUUGGGGAUGGACUCGCGGCUUAUCAGCUUGUUGGUGGGGUAGUGGCUUACCAAGGCUUUGACGGGUAGCCGGCCUGAGAGGGUGACCGGCCACAUUGGGACUGAGAUACGGCCCAGACUCCUACGGGAGGCAGCAGUGGGGAAUAUUGCACAAUGGGCGGAAGCCUGAUGCAGCAACGCCGCGUGCGGGAUGACGGCCUUCGGGUUGUAAACCGCUUUCGCCUGUGACGAAGCGUGAGUGACGGUAAUGGGUAAAGAAGC